This is a long non-coding RNA of Thamnophis elegans (Western terrestrial garter snake), 151 nucleotides long. RefSeq lists it as uncharacterized. The transcript is spliced from 2 exons. Lineage: Eukaryota; Metazoa; Chordata; Lepidosauria; Squamata; Natricidae. The record is from RefSeq and is a predicted model, not a curated record.
AAGAUCAGAAUAGAAAAACCGAGGAGAAGAUACUUGUUCAUCUUGAUAAGUUUCACAAGCGAGCCGGUAGGAGGCUUUGUCAGCUCCGGCGCUGCCAUUCAGGGGAGAAACCCGGGCCAGCUGCCAAGACUCACCAGGCUUCACUCCUACA